Molecule: long non-coding RNA, 1762 nt
Organism: Helicoverpa zea (corn earworm)
Lineage: Eukaryota; Metazoa; Arthropoda; Insecta; Lepidoptera; Noctuidae
Exons: 3
Source: RefSeq, a predicted model, not a curated record
AUACCGCAUCGCAUCGCAUCGCAUCGCAGUUUUGUGUGGGCGCCCUUAGACACGGUCAGUGAUCUAAAGAUAAAGAUAACAAAUUAGGAGGGAACAUAAUAAUUGUACAUAUAUCAUCAUUAUAACCCUAACUAAUUCUAUGUGUACGUUCUGCAUUUCAGUUAUUAUUAUUAAUUUUCUUGCGUAAACCCUAUUGGUGAUAAAUAUAUUAUUAUUUUCCUUUUUUACAUUUAUUCACAACUAAAAAACUAAAAACCGCACUGGUAGUCUUUUUAUUAAAUUGUAAAUAUCUUGACAAUGUGUACAUUUAUUUCUUACUUUUAUUUUUUUAGUUUACUUUUUAUAAAAAAAAUAUAUUUUACUAACAUCAAUUCUUUUACUUUGUUUAACCAUGCUUUUUAAAUUAUUUUGGCCGAUUUUAGUUCCUUUUUUUUUUGAAGUAUUCUGUUUAGAUCCACGCUGUGUAGUCUCGUCGCCCGGUCGUGGGGAGAGCAUGUCUUGUUAGGUGAGUAAGUGAAAAGAUAUUUAACGUUAAUAUUUUUUAAAUCGGACAGUUGAAGUAUUCCAAGUUCUUGUUGGUUUGUCUGUUUGACAUCUACCAUAAGCGAUGUGAAUUAUAAUACUAACAACAAAUCGCCGAUUUGAGCAUUGGUCGCCAAGAACGCGGCUGGUUAUGGAUUGGUUAUCGUCAUAGUGAAAGGGCCCAACUCACCCAUAUUGUGGUAUUUUAAUUUCUUCACUUGUUUUUCAGCCAUCGAUUCCAAGAAGCUGUCAUGGACGCGGUCGCAAAUCGUCUUCGUGUGUAAUGUGUCUUGUCAAAGCAAGGUUUCAUAAGCUGAGCGUGCGAUAGAAGCUCUGCGUUUUUUUAUAAUUUUUGCGCACAAACAGCGACUAGUAAUUAAAUAUGAUAAUUUUGGCUCUUAAAAGGUGUUCUAUUUAUUUUUAGCUGUGCCACAGCGGCGUUUGGAGUCGUUUGCAGUUGGGUAUUUUGAGCACAUUAUGGCGAGUAGGAAAAGACCCUGAGGUAGGAGUCCAAUUCGCUGGACAGACCAAAUGAGCUCCAUCCUUAACAGCAGUCUGUGACACCAUCCACGCCGCUGAAGAUGGCGAAAGAUAGGAGAAACUUCAUCGAGGUCUAGACCCUCAGCAUUGAGAACAGUAGACACAAGGAGGAUAUCUGCAUACCCAUGUCUACAUCACUGUGAUGGUCAUACGUCGUUUCAACAGGGACAUAAGCUUUGUACCUUCACCUCCAUCAUUGACCUUCCUGGCCACAUCAACAUCACGUCUGUCUACAACAAGAUCUUGCUGGAUUAUCUAAUAGGUCUAUCUCAAAUAAUGCCCCUAAGAUGUCAUUCACUUUAAGUUUCUCUCUAAGCAUCCUGUUUUUAAAUUGUGGCACUCAUAACGUCAUCGUUUACGUUUUCUUCCACCUUCUAAAUUACAUUUUUUUUUAAUAUAAACUUUGCGUUCCAACUUAACCACUUCUUAAUAGGUAGUUCCUUAUCAAUGUAAUUAUAUUCAAUUUUAGGUAUUCGAUGUUGUUCUAAGAUUGGUCAAAAUAAGGCAAUAAUUUUGAAAUGUAUAAUCUGCAUGCAAAUAUAAACUUUGUUUAAAUAUGAGGAAAACAGAAUAAUCUAUAAAUCUUUAUUUGGUUCACAUUAAUGAUCCCUAAUUUUAUUAGACUCCAGCUAUUGCAGAGGUACCUACUUAUAUAUCAGUUACAAAAGUCAGACCUACAGUGUCUUACUAUUUUAUUUUU